RNAcentral lists this ribosomal RNA (524 nucleotides) under Diapherodes jamaicensis. RNAcentral describes it as "partial 16S ribosomal RNA". The stretch from base 393 to 524 matches the Rfam family "Bacterial large subunit ribosomal RNA", at positions 2473 to 2600 of the family's 2925-position model. The record is from RNAcentral. Lineage: Eukaryota; Metazoa; Arthropoda; Insecta; Phasmatodea; Phasmatidae.
AAAACAUCUUCUCUUGUUUAAUUAUUUGAGAUUUGACCUGCCCAAUGAUUUAUUUAAUGGCCGCGGUAUAUUGACCGUGCAAAGGUAGCAUAAUCAUUAGUUUAUUAAUUGUGGACUUGUAUGAAUGGUUAGACGAGAUUUUUUCUGUCUUCAUUUUUAUUUUUAUAAAAUUUAAAUUUUUAGUUAAAAUGCUUAAAUUUUUUUAUUGGACGAGAAGACCCUAUAGAUCUUUAUUAUUAUUUUUUUUAUUUUGAUUUAGUUGAUUUAUUUUAGUAUUUUUAUAAUUUUUUGGUUGGGGUGACAUUAAGAUAUAUUUAACUCUUUUUAUAAUUAUUCAUUUAUUUUUGUAUAAUUGACCUUUUAUUAAUGUUAUAAGAUUUAGAUACCUUAGGGAUAACAGCGUUAUUUAUUUUGAGAGUUCAUAUCGACAAAUUAGAUUGCGACCUCGAUGUUGGAUUAAGAUUACUUUUAAAAUUGGUGCAGUUGCUUAAAUAGUAGGUCUGUUCGACCUUUAAAUUCUUACA